UACAGAGGGGGCAAGCGUUAUUCGGAAUUAUUGGGCGUAAAGGGCGCGUAGGCGGCCUGGCAAGUGGAAGGUGAAAUCCCUCGGCUUAACCGAGGAACUGCCUUCCAAACUGCUUGGCUUGAGUCCGGGAGAGGUGAGUGGAAUUCCCAGUGUAGCGGUGAAAUGCGUAGAUAUCAGGAAGAACACCCGUGGCGAAAGCGGCUCUCUGGAACGGUACUGACGCUGAGACGCGAAAGCGUGGGGAGCGAACAGG
RNAcentral lists this ribosomal RNA (253 nucleotides) under uncultured bacterium. RNAcentral's name for it is "partial 16S ribosomal RNA". It matches the Rfam family "Bacterial small subunit ribosomal RNA", at positions 524 to 776 of the family's 1533-position model. The record is from RNAcentral.